RNAcentral lists this long non-coding RNA (6522 nucleotides) under Nicotiana benthamiana. RNAcentral's name for it is "long non-coding RNA (NBEN_LNC010320)". Lineage: Eukaryota; Viridiplantae; Streptophyta; Magnoliopsida; Solanales; Solanaceae. The record is from RNAcentral.
ACAACAGCCCCCCCUUCUCACCUCCCAUGGCUGCCGAGAAAUCCCUCCAAAACUACCAAAAUUCUUUCCCAAAUCAUUACAUGGCCCCCCCCCCCCUCAUGGUCCCCUCCUCUCAUAUUCCUUCCACGUCAUCUAAAUCUACAACGACCUCUGCCAACAGAAUAGUCUCGUUCCUGUUCACGCGGUUUUGAAAGUGAUUUUUGUAUGAAUGGGAGAUAUAGAUUGAUUGUGAAUCAAUCUUGACCUUCCAUUUGUCCCAAAAUCAUUCACCAAAAGAAACUUAGAAGGUUUUGAAUUUUUUGGAUAAUUUUUGGAGGUGAUUUUUGGGAGAUUUCUUGCAAAGGAAGGGGAGAAACUUCCAAUCUUCCUAUAAAUAGGAGUUUUUCGGACAGAAAUUGGGGAGAAAAAUUUUGCAAGAAAACUAGGGUUCUAAGGCUUUUGAAGGCUCUCUCGAGUUUUACUAAAAUUUUAUUUGGUUUUCUUUCAAAAAAUACAAACAGUUCGAAUUUCACUUUGUUCAAGUCCUUGUUUCAUUUCAUCAAAAAAUCAGAGAAGUUCAAAAAAAAUAUACAUUUAGUUUCUUCUUUUGGUUUCGGUUUCAACAUGGAGAUCGAUUGAUUCGAGGUUGAGUUCGUUGUUCGAGUUUUGGUUCGUGUCCGAGUUGGUUCCCUGCUCUGUUGCUUCGUUGUUGAUUGGAUUUUCAUUAGCUAUUUUCGCUCUCAAAUUCGUCGCAACUCUUCUUAUGUUGUACUCGAUUCCUACAGAAUUAAUCGAAAGCUUAAUUUCCAGGUUGGUCUUCCUUUUCUUACUCUGGAAUGAUGGUUUGAAAUAUGAUUAGAAAUAUGAAUUUGCUUGACAUGUUUUAGAGAUAAAUAAUCGAAUCUGGGCGUCAACCGAAACAAUCUCAUGAUAUUCAUAUAGUAUUACAUUUGGAUAUAGCUACAUCAUCGGGUGUUUUGUUUUUCUUUGGUAUUCAAUGAAGUGCUUCGAUUCUGCCCUGUUUUAGCAUGUCGGAUGGUAGUUUAAUCUGAUUCUUUGAUCCUUGAUUUAGUAUGUGUGACUAUUUGAAAUAUUAGUGUUUAAUCGUCUUGUGUUCUACACGAUAAAUAUGGAGUUCAUUGGAUUUACUAUUUUAGUUUAUUUGUUGACAAGAAUCUGUUGCGAUAUUGAAGUGUUAUUAAUCAAGAAGUAACAAUUACAAGUUCAUUUCUUCCUCCCUUAGUCUUGUUUUUUUGGUGUCGAUCAAAGUAUGAUAAGAGCCGAGGUCUAGUUAGAUUGGCAAGAUGAUUAAGAGUUGAUUCAAAUUGGGUUGAUUUGGAACUAAAUUGGUAUGAACAUCUGUUAGUCGAAUUUGGAUUCCUAUAUUGUGUUGACUGUCCCUUUUAGCUUCGUUCUGUUUUGCUCUAACACGAGUGAUCGUGGUUUUGUGAUUCUGUUUGCCGACUAGUGUUUGUCACUCGGAUUAUGAAUCAGUGAGGCUUUUAUUUUGCAGUUUCUUCUAGUGUCUCGUGAGUUAGAUUGAAAUAGAGAGUUGAACAGAAAGGUAUAUGUGAAUCUGUUUUGUUGAAAUCUGUCAUAUUUCUGUGUUUAAACUUGGCUACUCUUCCUCAAUAUAGUUUGAUCUUUCUCACAUCCUAUUCGACUAUGUUGACCAUGAAACUGAUUUUCUUAUGAUGAUACUCUGAUGUCCGUGUGGUGCGUUGGAAGUUAAAUAUGAUUUCUAUUAAGAUGCGUUAGAUUGUUCAAGUAGUAUUUGAAAUCACUCUUGUUUAGAGGUUACGUCAAUUUCAAUCUUUCAAUUACAACAGAUUCCCAUAGGUUCAUACCAUUAUGUUUGAUCAUUUAGAUUGGCAUUGUAUCUGUUUGCUUCAGUCCUUCUUAUCGGUCUACUCGAGUUCGGGGUGUUAAAUGAUUCUUGGGUUUGUUCUCCGAUGAUUCCUGUUUGUCGUUGCUUCUGUUGGCCCCUUAUGAUGUUAAGAGACUUAUUGUGAAUUCCUGCCGAGCUUAGUCAAGUUUCCUGGUGAGGUAUUUGUUACUAUUUUUUGUUGAGAUAUGCAUCAAUAUGGUCUAUCUUUGGUCGUAAGUUGGGUGCGUCAGGAUGAAAGUAGAACUAGUCGUAGUUCCUAUUGUCUUUUCGUGAUUGUUAGUCAUUUAUCUGGUUGAAGCCUCUCUUGUGAUUAAAAUUGGCGUGAUCAAUUUUCGUUACAACGUAACAUCAGUAAGAGCAUUGGGUGAUUUGAAGAUGAUUUGUUAAUGCUGAAAAUUUUCCAUGUCCUAGUAUUCAAUUAAACUAUCAUUUCCAGAGGCAAAUUUGAUUAGUUUCGUGUUCAAAUAAGUGUGGAUCAUGGUACCUUGCUUUGGAAUUGUAGGAAAUGUAACUGUUGGUCUGUUAGACACAUAGAUUAUAGUUUUAUGCACUAAUAAUUAAUCCUAUUUGCAAAUUGACAUGCUUCUGUUGGAAGUGCAGCAGUAACAUCUUUGUCAUUUUGAAGGAAAGACUACUAAUUCAGUGAGAAAAUAAGUUUCAUUUUGAAGUGUGCUACUAAGUCUAGUGCAGUGAAUCAUUAGGAUUAGUGUUAAAAUAAGUCUAAUGGGUUAGAUGGCUCUUAUCAUACUUUGAUCAUCCAUUUUAUUUUUCUCGUUUUCUUUGUAUUCCUGAUGCUUUGUUUGGAUUGUCGUGAAUGAUAUGGGUCAUGGAAGUUGGAAGGACUAGCCCCUUUAGUGUUUAAACCUAUUUGCAUGCUAGAAUUGGGCUUGGUCUAAGUAGACGAAAAUGACAAGUGAAAAGAACAUGACCCCAAGUUGAACUUCUUUUGGUUUUUCUCUUAUUUAAUUAUUCUCGUUUUAUUAUUAUUCGCUAGAAGCAUGUUAGGCUGACUACACUUGGGUAGGCAGUCUUAGAAUUUUUUUUUGUUUGCUUUUAGUUGCGAGGCGAGAGACCGUUCCCUUAGUUAAAUUCAUCCCGGGAAUGCUCCGAAGGACUUGUAUAUAUUUUAUUCUGGGGUAUUCCCCGAAGUAUUUGUAAAUGGAGACGAAAAAUAGAAACUUGUAGUAUUUUUAUUUUAUUUUCAUUCUUCUUUUUCUUUCAUUUAGGCGGGAACGACCUUGAGCCUCUUCGUGUUUGCUUUCCCUUUUUCUGUGUAUUACCUCAAUUGAUUAUUUUAAAAGCCAACUUGAUCGAGUAUGCAACCGACUAGUUACAGGACUUGGGGAGUGCCUAACACCUUCUUCCCGAGUCAAAGGAACCCCCUUACCCGAAUCUCUGGUGCGGACUUGAUUUUAGAGCCUGAAACAUUUUAAAAGGAAAAAUUAUUUUUAAAACGGUGACCUGACACGCCGAAAUCAAAUGUCAGGUGGCGACUUUGAAUUUAUUUCCUUUUGAAAUACAAUUUUUGUCACCUUUUCAAAAUUGAAAACCCUUUUCAAGCUUUAUUUAAAUCUUUUUAUUUAUUUAAGAGGGUUUAGUGAGAGUUUGGUUUUUUUAAAAAAGGGGUGUGACAGCCGCUUUGUCUUUCUGUUUGCAUCCGUACCAACUUUUUCACAUAACUUCAGCCCAUGGGGCUGAAGUGUUUCUUUUGUACUGGAAAACUUAAGCUGGAAACGACUGAAGUUUAAUUUGUAUUUUAUAAUUGGACAACUUAAGCUGGAAAUGGCUUAAGUGUUUAUUUUAUAACUGGAAAAUUUAAGCUGGAAACGGCUUAAGUGUUUAUUUUAUAACUGCACAACUUAAGCUGGAAAUGGCUUAAGUAAACUUAAACUCUAGAGCUUAAGUAAAAGAUCAACUGAAGUUGCAAACAGAAAGAUAAAGCGGGCACAAGUUAAAAUGUGGCAUAAAAAACGGAUACGGCUACAAAUGCCCCGAUCCGCCUCCGCUAAUAAUUAAAGAAUUUGAAACAUAAAUAAGCUGGGGUUUUUAAAUUUAUUUGGCUAAUCGUCGUUAGCAAACACACACACAUACAUAUCUAUAUUUAUAUUAUUAUAAAAGUACGAAUAAUUUAUGUUAAAUAUUGAACGACUGAAAUAUCUUCGAAAUAUUAAUCGAUUUUUAUGCCCUUAAAUAUUUAUAUAAUUUAAGAAUCUAAUUGUAAAUUAUUGAAUGAUUGAAAUUCUUUUUGGAUUUAAACUACACAUGUGUUGGCACUACAAAGUUGGAUCCUAUUUGAAUUAGAAAGGCAUGUCCAUAAUUCCAUAAUUUUCUCUUUUUAUUUAUUUAUUUACGCAAGACUACAUAUGCAUAUAAUCAAAUUGCAUACAUGGAGUUUCACUUCUUUUUAUUUUAUUAUUUAUAUUUUUAACUGUGUAAUGUUGAUCUGAUUUGGCACAGUUCUUAAAAUUUAUUUAUUAUUGGAGAUUUUUUCGCUAUUAAAUUUUCUCCUUUUUGCUUGAAGAAGUUGAAGAACAACGAUUUUCAGAUAAUUUUUCUAAUUUUUCUCCCUAUCUAACACAUAGUGCAUGAUAAGCAUAACUAUAUUUGAUUGUUUGCAUCACACACCAUAUUAAUUAACGAUGAUGCCAAGCCAAUACUGACCAAGAAAAAAAAAUCAGAUUCUAUUAUAGGAACAAUGCCAAAUAUUUCUUUCCAGUAAGUUGCCUCGUCAAUCUCUAAGUUCUAUCUUCUAUCCUUUAGUAGCAAUUGAACUCAAAGUUCAAACUUCGUCCCAUUCAUAUUAAAUAUCGUUAAUAAUUGAUUGCUAAAGAGUAAUAAUUGAUGGUUUAUUUGAUUGCUAAAGAGUAAUAAUUAUGUUUCUGACACCACCUUGUUGAUAUCAAUUGAAGUGCAACUACAAAUAUACAAUAACAACUACCCAGUAUAGUCCCACAAAGUGAGGUCUGAGGAGGGUAAUAUGUAGACGAGCCUUACCCCCACCCGAAAGGGCUGAGAGGCUGUUUCUAAUCGACCCUCGGCUCAGUGAAGGAAAGGGAAAAACAAAAACAAAAACAAAAGAGCAACUACAAAUAUAGACAAAUAAUAUUAAAUAUUAAGAAAUAGACGAUCAAAUAAAAUAUGUUUAUACCUUAUAAAUAAAAGUAACGCAAUUACAACUUAUAUCUUUUAUCUUCUGAAAUAAUUUACAAUGUUCAUCGCGUGAAAAUAACAUGUCUGCAUUAAAAAUUAGAGCCUAUCGAACAUGCUUUGUUCUUUAAUUUAAAAAUAAAUAAAGAAAGAAAGUGAGAAAAUUAAAGAACUCGUGUCAAAUAUCUUCACAUUAGAAUUUUUUUGGUGCAUAUAUCCCUGAAAAGCACGUGGAAUAAGAACUUUGAGGUGAUUGGAGAAUAGUAAUAUGUUAAUUUUCUUAUAAUUUCAUUGUCAUUUAUCGUAAGUGUAGAAAUGACUUGUUCUUUAAUUAAUCAAAGUUAGUGGUUGUUAAUUUUCUCAAUUCACGUUGACCUCGUUAAAGGACAAUUUGUAAUUUGAGCCCCCAUUGGCUAUACUAAAUUACCCUACUUUUUUUUAAGUUCCAUAUGAUACACAACUCAUAAGUUCUUUUCAAUUAGGUUAGGAAAUGGUCUAUUCUUGAUUUUAGUAGGCUCUAUUAGUUUCUUUUUAUAUGAUUGUGCAUAAAGUAGCUUUCUUUAACCUAAUUAUAAACCCAUUUGGGAAACAGUAUGUGAUUGAUGAAGGACAUGUGAUAUAUUUUCUAAUAUUUUUGUAUUGGUCUAAAAUCUGACCAUACGAUCAAGACGGUGACGACCGCAUCCUAAUUAACUCACGAGGGUAGUCAUCAAACUCGACUCCGGCUCGUUAUUACUAUUUUCAAAACAAGCGACGAAGUCAAUAUCUCUCCACGACGAAAUAACAUCUCUCCCUCCCGACCAUGAAAAUCGUGAUAAGCUUAGGGGAUUUCCCUUUUUGACUAUAUAUACAAGAUAAGAGAGCUAAAAAGGGGCUUCGGCCCCAACCUUCUUCUCCAUCACUCAAAUUCCCCUAAAAGGGGAUAGCAUAACUCCAUGAAGGGAACCUUGAACCUACGGGCAAGGAGAAACCAAUACUUCAACUACCAUGAGGGGCAAUAUGAUUGUAAUUCCUUGAUUUCCGAUUCAUUGAGAAUCAGGUUUGACUAUGAUUUACUCAUUCAUCUCUUUUGAUUAAUUUGCUUAAAAAGUAUCUUUCAACUUUUGAGCCAAAUAAUUUUCAUGCAUGUAUAUCUUGGUAAUUAAUUCUAGGGUUUACACGUGAAUAUUAAUUUUUUAAUAUUUUUCUAUCUCAUUUUUUGGUUUAUCAAGACGAUAAUUUAUCAAGUUUUAACUCUGAUAUUGCGUAAAAGAAUCUAAACAUCUAUCAUAAAAUCUUAAGUCAAUUGGUAAAACAACUCAUGGCCAUUACUCUAAAUCCUUUUGAAAACUCUUUACACAAUUGAUGAGGGCCAUGAUAAAAACUACAUAUAUCUAACAUUUUUAUUGCUUGUAAUGAAAGUAGGGAAAGAACAAAGAAUUCACGAAAGAGGCCCAAGGAGAUUUUCAAAAGGGAUUUUUACAUAUACAUCCCAUAUAACAAACCUUAUAACCACUCAUGUUUAAGGU